AAUAUUGCACAAUGGGCGAAAGCCUGAUGCAGCGACGCCGCGUGAGGGAUGACGGCCUUCGGGUUGUAAACCUCUUUCAGUAGGGAAGAAGCGAAAGUGACGGUACCUGCAGAAGAAGCGCCGGCUAACUACGUGCCAGCAGCCGCGGUAAUACGUAGGGCGCAAGCGUUAUCCGGAAUUAUUGGGCGUAAAGAGCUCGUAGGCGGUUUGUCGCGUCUGCUGUGAAAGACCGGGGCUCAACUCCGGUUCUGCAGUGGGUACGGGCAGACUAGAGUGAUGUAGGGGAGACUGGAAUUCCUGGUGUAGCGGUGAAAUGCGCAGAUAUCAGGAGGAACACCGAUGGCGAAGGCAGGUCUCUGGGCAUUAACUGACGCUGAGGAGCGAAAGCAUGGGGAGCGAACAGGAUUAGAUACCCUGGUAGUCCAUGCCGUAAACGUUGGGCACUAGGUGUGGGGGACAUUCCACGUUUUCCGCGCCGUAGCUAACGCAUUAAGUGCCCCGCCUGGGGAGUACGGCCGCAAGGCUAAAACUCAAAGGAAUUGACGG
RNAcentral lists this ribosomal RNA (546 nucleotides) under Arthrobacter gyeryongensis. Its description in RNAcentral is "bacterial SSU rRNA". It matches the Rfam family "Bacterial small subunit ribosomal RNA", at positions 360 to 916 of the family's 1533-position model. Lineage: Bacteria; Bacillati; Actinomycetota; Actinomycetes; Micrococcales; Micrococcaceae. The record is from RNAcentral.